This 253-nucleotide long non-coding RNA is filed under the name Homo sapiens (human). RNAcentral's name for it is "non-protein coding lnc-RPRML-3:26". The record is from RNAcentral. Lineage: Eukaryota; Metazoa; Chordata; Mammalia; Primates; Hominidae.
GGCCAGGCAGCCGUUAGACAGCACAACCGAACCCAACACCGGGGCCCAACGGCAGGGGCUUGGGCAGGAGCAAGGUCCGAGGGCUGCCAGGUGCCAGAAGCCCAGGAAGCACACAUCAAGGCUCACUUGCCAGCAGGGUGCUGCCAAUAAAAUGUAGUCACGUGGAAUUUGGAAUGUGGAAAGGAGGUAGAAGUCAUCCUUUCCUUCCCCAUAGCAGCAGGCGUGCAGGCUCUGGUGGUCAGCUGGACUCCAU